This is a non-coding RNA of Pelobates cultripes (western spadefoot toad), 245 nucleotides long. The record is from the annotation of a GenBank genome assembly. NCBI's taxonomy places the organism in Eukaryota, Metazoa, Chordata, Amphibia, Anura, Pelobatidae.
GGCCCUCAAUCCCUCUGUUACUGUGUCACUAUACCCCACUCCCUCUAACAUGUAAACUCACUGAGCAGGGCCCUCAAUCCCUCUGUUACUGUGUCACUAUACCCCACUCCCUCUAACAUGUAAACUCACUGAGCAGGGCCCUCAAUCCCUCUGUUACUGUGCCACUAUACCCCACUCGCUCUAACAUGUAAACUCACUGAGCAGGCCCUCAAUCCCACUCCCUCUAACAUGUAAACUCACUGAGC